Epinephelus moara (kelp grouper) is the source of this 1755-nucleotide long non-coding RNA. RefSeq lists it as uncharacterized. The transcript is spliced from 3 exons. The record is from RefSeq and is a predicted model, not a curated record. NCBI's taxonomy places the organism in Eukaryota, Metazoa, Chordata, Actinopteri, Perciformes, Serranidae.
UCCUGUUUUCUUCUUGACAUUUUGUUUAGCCUAUGCACCUGAUGUGAGUUUUUUCCUUGGACUUGUAGUAAGACAAACACCGUUUCUUCUAUUUUAUUUGCAGUUUGAAAAUGUUUUGACCAACACACUCAUCCAUUGUUUUUCUCAUGUCCUUUCAUAAUACAAAGGUUAUGUGGCACAUGUUAGCAUGUGGCAUCCCUUUGCCAUACGGUGAUCGACAGAGUGGCGAGGGGGGAAAACACAACAGUGACUCAACAGAGGCAAAAGUGGCAUGCGCCAUCCAAAAAGCCACACAGUGCAGAGUUCCUUGAAGACAUCCAUAUUCAGAAAGUUAAAGGAAACUGUGUCAUUGAGGAGAAAGUGUGUCAUACCCAGAGGUUCCAGUUUGACCCUCGAGCUCUACAUCACAGAACCAAAAAAUCCAUCUAUGUCAUGGACCUUCAGGGGCUCCGAGAAUCUACAAAUGGAAGUGCUGGGAUUCUCAUGUUCCUGCCAGCUGCCCCUGAUCCAGCACAUGCAUUACCUGACAUGAGGGACUGUGGUGUAGUACAAUGGGAGGAGGCCCUUGAAGAUCCACUACAGCAAGUGAAUGUUGCACUGCCCCCCACACUCCCAUCCCUAGCAGCUACACACUGCUCUUCCAAAGAUCAGUUCUUUGAGGCAGCUGUACAGCAUUUGGACCAAGAUGAUGUUUUAGCUGUGUGUCAGCACACAAUAGACCAGAGUAAUGUGUAGUGCAAGUGUUGUGGCACUCGUCCCCUUGAGGUGAAGAACCCCUUCAAGCAUCGAGCGCUCAGUAUCCCGAAGUUUGCUGAACAACCAGAUUCUUGCCUUCAUAUCACACCAACAGGUGAAAUAAAGCUGAAGGCAACACAUCCCUACUACUUCCAAGUUCAACUACAGAUGCUGGUCACCAAUGCAGAUGUGGGGUACUUCUUUCUUCAAACUGCUUCCCCAUACAACAGAUACCACACAGAGGAAAUCAGCUUCGACCCCACGCUAGUGGAGGAGAUAAUUGCAAAGUCAACAAUUUUCUUCCAGUCUGAGAUUCAACCAGAGUUACUGGAAGGGAUGUUGAAGAGCUCAAUGGAGAAGGUGAGGAAAGGGGGACAGCCGGUUUAUCUGGUCCAGAGGCUCUCCAAAGUGCCACAAGCGAUGAGCCGCCACCAUCCAGUGCAGGAAACGUGGUUACACCCACCUCAUCAGCUGUGGAGUGUCCUUGUGUUGUGUGCACAAAGGAAUGUGUGGGUGACCCACACACAAUGGAAGAAAUUAGUAUUUAUUGUUACUCUUGUAAGGAGGGGUCACAUUGGACAUGUGUAGGGUUAAGUGGUCAGGAGGCCUUCCUCCAAAAAAAGGCGACCAAUUGGUUUUGUGCAAAAUGUGAACUGUUUGAACAUCAAUUCAAGUAUGAUAUUGGUUAAGUAUUCUGUGGCACCCCUGGACUGGUGUCAUAGCACCCACUUUGAGAAACCCUGGUUAAGUGCACUGAAAUAUAGAAGUGGACAUUCCUCCAGCCUAUGUGUACUGUGUACUGUUUAAUGCACUAAUAUACAGCACUUGAAGAAAAAGUACACAUGAUUUGUAAAAAAAAAAAAAGAAAACAAAAAAGGAACACACAAAAUACCUGUUUUGUUUGCAUUUAUUUUGCACUACAAAUGCACUAUUUUUUUUGUUAACCAAAAAUGCACAAUGCUCUACGGCACUUUUGUGAACCCCAUUUUCCUGCAUUGUUUGUUUACAAUACAUUCACUA